RNAcentral lists this ribosomal RNA (253 nucleotides) under uncultured bacterium. RNAcentral describes it as "partial 16S ribosomal RNA". It matches the Rfam family "Bacterial small subunit ribosomal RNA", at positions 524 to 776 of the family's 1533-position model. The record is from RNAcentral.
UACGAAGGUGGCAAGUGUUGUUCGGAUUUACUGGGCGUACAGGGAGCGUAGGCGGUUGGAUAAGCCCUCCGUGAAAUCUCCAGGCUUAACCUGGAAAGUGCAGAGGGGACUGUUCAGCUAGAGGAUGGGAGAGGAGCGCGGAAUUCCCGGUGUAGCGGUGAAAUGCGUAGAGAUCGGGAGGAAGGCCGGUGGCGAAGGCGGCGUUCUGGACUGUUACUGACACUGAGGAACGAAAGCCAGGGGAGCAAACGGG